UUGGAGGGCAAGUCUGGUGCCAGCAGCCGCGGUAAUUCCAGCUCCAAUAGCGUAUAUUAAAGUUGUUGCAGUUAAAAAGCUCGUAGUUGAAUUUCGGGAUCAGAGUGUCGGUCGUGCCUCGGUACGCACUGGUAUUAUUGGUUCCUACCUUCUGAAGAACCGCGAUGUCAUUAAUUUGGUGUCGUGGGGAAUCAGGACUGUUACUCUGAAAAAAUUAGAGUGUUUAAAGCAGGCUUACGCUUGAAUACAUUAGCAUGGAAUAAUGAAAUGGGACGUUUGAUUCUAUUUUGUUGGUUUCUAGGAUUGACGUAAUGAUUAAUAGGGAUAGUUGGGGGCAUUAGUAUUCAAUUGUCAGAGGUGAAAUUCUUGGAUUUAUUGAAGACUAACUACUGCGAAAGCAUUUGCCAAGGAUGUUUUCAUUAAUCAAGAACGAAAGUUAGGGGAUCGAAGACGAUCAGAUACCGUCGUAGUCUUAACCAAAAACUAUGCCGACUAGGGAUCGGAUGAUGUUAAUUUUUUAAUGACUCAUUCGGCGCCUUACGGGAAACCAAAGUGUUUGGGUUC
This 564-nucleotide ribosomal RNA is filed under the name uncultured Glomeromycotina. RNAcentral's name for it is "SSU rRNA". It matches the Rfam family "Eukaryotic small subunit ribosomal RNA", at positions 548 to 1114 of the family's 1831-position model. The record is from RNAcentral. Lineage: Eukaryota; Fungi; Glomeromycota.